This 24-nucleotide non-coding RNA is filed under the name Gossypium hirsutum (cotton). Lineage: Eukaryota; Viridiplantae; Streptophyta; Magnoliopsida; Malvales; Malvaceae. The record is from RNAcentral.
UCAGAACGAGAUAUGGUCACACAC